UACGUAGGGUGCAAGCGUUGUCCGGAAUCAUUGGGCGUAAAGAGCGUGUAGGCGGCUCGAUUAGUCCGCUGUAAAAGUCCAGGGCUCAACCCUGGGAUGCCGGUGGAAACUGUCGGGCUAGAGUCCGGGAGAGGCGAGUGGAAUUCCUGGUGUAGCGGUGAAAUGCGUAGAGAUCCGGAGGAACACCGACGGCGUAGGCAGCGCCCUGGCCGUUUCCUGACGCUGAUGCACGAAAGCUGGGGGAGCAAACAGG
This 253-nucleotide ribosomal RNA is filed under the name uncultured bacterium. RNAcentral describes it as "partial 16S ribosomal RNA". It matches the Rfam family "Bacterial small subunit ribosomal RNA", at positions 524 to 776 of the family's 1533-position model. The record is from RNAcentral.